UGGGGAAUAUUGCACAAUGGGCGCAAGCCUGAUGCAGCCAUGCCGCGUGUAUGAAGAAGGCCUUCGGGUUGUAAAGUACUUUCAGCGGGGAGGAAGGGAGUAAAGUUAAUACCUUUGACCAUUGACGUUACCCGCAGAAGAAGCACCGGCUAACUCCGUGCCAGCAGCCGCGGUAAUACGGAGGGUGCAAGCGUUAAUCGGAAUUACUGGGCGUAAAGCGCACGCAGGCGGUUUGUUAAGUCAGAUGUGAAAUCCCCGGGCUCAACCUGGGAACUGCAUCUGAUACUGGCAAGCUUGAGUCUCGUAGAGGGGGGUAGAAUUCCAGGUGUAGCGGUGAAAUGCGUAGAGAUCUGGAGGAAUACCGGUGGCGAAGGCGGCCCCCUGGACGAAGACUGACGCUCAGGUGCGAAAGCGUGGGGAGCAAACAGG
Molecule: ribosomal RNA, 429 nt
Filed under: Chloroflexota bacterium
Lineage: Bacteria; Bacillati; Chloroflexota
Description: Chloroflexi bacterium partial 16S ribosomal RNA
Rfam family: Bacterial small subunit ribosomal RNA
Source: RNAcentral